This 497-nucleotide ribosomal RNA is filed under the name uncultured bacterium. RNAcentral describes it as "partial 16S ribosomal RNA". It matches the Rfam family "Bacterial small subunit ribosomal RNA", at positions 28 to 507 of the family's 1533-position model. The record is from RNAcentral.
GAUGAACGCUGGCGGCGUGCCUAAUACAUGCAAGUCGAGCGAACAGAUGAGGAGCUUGCUCCUCUGACGUUAGCGGCGGACGGGUGAGUAACACGUGGAUAACCUACCUAUAAGACUGGGAUAACUUCGGGAAACCGGAGCUAAUACCGGAUAAUAUAUUGAACCGCAUGGUUCAAUAGUGAAAGACGGUUUUGCUGUCACUUAUAGAUGGAUCCGCGCCGCAUUAGCUAGUUGGUAAGGUAACGGCUUACCAAGGCGACGAUGCGUAGCCGACCUGAGAGGGUGAUCGGCCACACUGGAACUGAGACACGGUCCAGACUCCUGAGGGAGGCCGCAGUAGGGAAUCUUCCGCAAUGGGCGAAAGCCUGACGGAGCAACGCCGCGUGAGUGAUGAAGGUCUUCGGAUCGUAAAACUCUGUUAUUAGGGAAGAACAAAUGUGUAAGUAACUAUGCACGUCUUGACGGUACCUAAUCAGAAAGCCACGGCUAACUACGUG